Molecule: long non-coding RNA, 10900 nt
Filed under: Setaria viridis
Lineage: Eukaryota; Viridiplantae; Streptophyta; Magnoliopsida; Poales; Poaceae
Description: long non-coding RNA (SVIR_LNC006925)
Source: RNAcentral
UGUUCUAGGGUAUAAUUAUGAAGAUUGCAUGCGUUCGUUGCGAAAAAAUCAACCCGAGUUUCGCUACCCGUAAAUAGUGCAUUCGGCUACCGAAAUGCACCCGUUUUGCAUCGUUUUUCGUGCUGUAACCGAAUGCUCAGAAACACUCCCAAACAUGUUCUAGGGUCUAAUUAGAAAGAUUGCACGCGUCCGUUGCGAAAAAUUCCACCCGAGUUUCGUUACCCUCGAAAUAGUGAAUUCGGGUGCCGAAAUGCACCCGUUUUGCAUUGAUUUUCGUGCCGAAACCGAACGCUCAAAAACACCACCAAACAUGUUCUAGGGUAUAAUUAGGAAUAUUGCAUGCGUUCGUUGCGAAAAAAUCCACCCGAGUUUCGCUACCCGGAAAUAGUGCAUUCGGGUGCCGAAAUGCACCCGUUUUGCAUCAUUUUUCGUUCCGGAACCGAAUGCUCAAAAACACUCCCAAACAUGUUCUAGGGUAUAAUUAUGAAGAUUGCAUGCGUUCGUUGCGAAAAAAUCCAAUCGAGUUUCGCUACACGGAAAAAGUGCAUUCGGGUGCCGAAAUGCACCCGUUUUGCAUCAUUUUUCGUUCCGGAACCGAAUGCUCAAAAACAUCUCCCAAACAUGUUUUAGGGUAUAAUUAGGAAGAUUGCAUGCGUUCGUUGCGAAAAAAUCCACCCGAGUUUCGCUACCCGGCAAUAGUGCAUUCGGGUGCCGAAAUGCACCCGUUUUGCAUCAUUUUUCGUUCCGGAACCGAAUGCUCAAAAACACUCCCAAACAUGUUCUAGGGUAUAAUUAUGAAGAUUGCAUGCGUUCGUUGCGAAAAAAUCCAAUCGAGUUUCGCUACACGGAAAAAGUGCAUUCGGGUGCCGAAAUGCACCCGUUUUGCAUCAUUUUUCGUUCCGGAACCGAAUGCUCAAAAACACUCCCAAACAUGUUUUAGGGUAUAAUUAGGAAGAUUGCAUGCGUUCGUUGCGAAAAAAUCCACCCGAGUUUCGCUACCCGGCAAUAUGCAUUCGGGUGCCGAAAUGCACCCGUUUUGCAUCAUUUUUCAUUCCGGAACCGAAUGCUCAAAAACACUCCCAAACAUGUUCUAGGGUAUAAUUAUGAAGAUUGCAUGCGUUCGUUGCGAAAAAAUCAACCCGAGUUUCGCUACCCGUAAAUAGUGCAUUCGGCUACCGAAAUGCACCCGUUUUGCAUCGUUUUUCGUUCCGGAACCGAAUGCUCAAAAACACUCCCAAACAUGUUUUAGGGUAUAAUUACGAAGAUUGCAUGCGUUCGUUGCGAAAAAAUCCACCCGAGUUUCGCUACCCGGCAAUAUGCAUUCGGGUGCCGAAAUGCACCCGUAUUGCAUCAUUUUUCGUUCCGGAACCGAAUGCUCAAAAGCACUCCCAAACAUGUUCUAGGGUAUAAUUAUGAAGAUUGCAUGCGUUCGUUGCGAAAAAAUCAACCCGAGUUUCGCUACCCGUAAAUAGUGCAUUCGGCUACCGAAAUGCACCCGUUUUGCAUCAUUUUUCGUUCCGGAACCGAAUGCUCAAAAACACUCCCAAACAUGUUGUAGGGUAUAAUUACGAAGAUUGCAUGCGUUCGUUGCGAAAAAAUCCACCCGAGUUUCGCUACCCGGCAAUAUGCAAUCGGGUGCCGAAAUGCACCCGUUUUGCAUCAUUUUUCGUUCCGGAACCGAAUGCUCAAAAACACUCCCAAACAUGUUCUAGGGUAUAAUUAUGAAGAUUGCAUGCGUUCGUUGCGAAAAAAUCCACCCGAGUUUCGCUACCCGGCAAUAUGCAUUCGGGUACCGAAAUGCACCCGUAUUGCAUCAUUUUUCGUUCCGGAACCGAAUGCUCAAAAACACUCCCAAACAUGUUCUAGGGUAUAAUUAUGAAGAUUGCAUGCGUUCGUUGCGAAAAAAUCAACCCGAGUUUCGCUACCCGUAAAUAGUGCAUUCGGCUACCGAAAUGCACCCGUUUUGCAUCAUUUUUCGUGCUGUAACCGAAUGCUCAGAAACACUCCCAAACAUGUUCUAGGGUCUAAUUAGAAAGAUUGCACGCGUCCGUUGCGAAAAAUUCCACCCGAGUUUCGUUACCCUCGAAAUAGUGAAUUCGGGUGCCGAAAUGCACCCGUUUUGCAUUGAUUUUCGUGCCGAAACCGAACGCUCAAAAACACUACCAAACAUGUUCUAGGGUAUAAUUAGGAAUAUUGCAUGCGUUCGUUGCGAAAAAAUCCACCCGAGUUUCGCUACCCCGGAAAUAGUGCAUUCGGGUGCCGAAAUGCACCCGUUUUGCAUCAUUUUUCGUUCCGGAACCGAAUGCUCAAAAACACUCCCAAACAUGUUCUAGGGUAUAAUUAUGAAGAUUGCAUGCGUUCGUUGCGAAAAAAUCCAAUCGAGUUUCGCUACACGGAAAAAGUGCAUUCGGGUGCCGAAAUGCACCCGUUUUGCAUCAUUUUUCGUUCCGGAACCGAAUGCUCAAAAACUCUCCCAAACAUGUUUUAGGGUAUAAUUAGGAAGAUUGCAUGCGUUCGUUGCGAAAAAAUCCACCCGAGUUUCGCUACCCGGCAAUAGUGCAUUCGGGUGCCGAAAUGCACCCGUUUUGCAUCAUUUUUCGUUCCGGAACCGAAUGCUCAAAAACACUCCCAAACAUGUUCUAGGGUAUAAUUAUGAAGAUUGCAUGCGUUCGUUGCGAAAAAAUCCAAUCGAGUUUCGCUACACGGAAAAAGUGCAUUCGGGUGCCGAAAUGCACCCGUUUUGCAUCAUUUUUCGUUCCGGAACCGAAUGCUCAAAAACACUCCCAAACAUGUUUUAGGGUAUAAUUAGGAAGAUUGCAUGCGUUCGUUGCGAAAAAAUCCACCCGAGUUUCGCUACCCGGCAAUAUGCAUUCGGGUGCCGAAAUGCACCCGUUUUGCAUCAUUUUUCGUUCCGGAACCGAAUGCUCAAAAACACUCCCAAACAUGUUCUAGGGUAUAAUUAUGAAGAUUGCAUGCGUUCGUUGCGAAAAAAUCAACCCGAGUUUCGCUACCCGUAAAUAGUGCAUUCGGCUACCGAAAUGCACCCGUUUUGCAUCGUUUUUCGUUCCGGAACCGAAUGCUCAAAAACACUCCCAAACAUGUUUUAGGGUAUAAUUACGAAGAUUGCAUGCGUUCGUUGCGAAAAAAUCCACCCGAGUUUCGCUACCCGGCAAUAUGCAUUCGGGUGCCGAAAUGCACCCGUUUUGCAUCAUUUUUCAUUCCGGAACCGAAUGCUCAAAAACACUCCCAAACAUGUUCUAGGGUAUAAUUAUGAAGAUUGCAUGCGUUCGUUGCGAAAAAAUCAACCCGAGUUUCGCUACCCGUAAAUAGUGCAUUCGGCUACCGAAAUGCACCCGUUUUGCAUCGUUUUUCGUUCCGGAACCGAAUGCUCAAAAACACUCCCAAACAUGUUUUAGGGUAUAAUUACGAAGAUUGCAUGCGUUCGUUGCGAAAAAAUCCACCCGAGUUUCGCUACCCGGCAAUAUGCAUUCGGGUGCCGAAAUGCACCCGUAUUGCAUCAUUUUUCGUUCCGGAACCGAAUGCUCAAAAGCACUCCCAAACAUGUUCUAGGGUAUAAUUAUGAAGAUUGCAUGCGUUCGUUGCGAAAAAAUCAACCCGAGUUUCGCUACCCGUAAAUAGUGCAUUCGGCUACCGAAAUGCACCCGUUUUGCAUCGUUUUUCGUGCUGUAACCGAAUGCUCAGAAACACUCCCAAACAUGUUCUAGGGUCUAAUUAGAAAGAUUGCACGCGUUCGUUGCGAAAAAAUCCACCCGAGUUUCGCUACCCGGCAAUAUGCAAUCGGGUGCCGAAAUGCACCCGUUUUGCAUCAUUUUUCGUUCCGGAACCGAAUGCUCAAAAACACUCCCAAACAUAUUCUAGGGUAUAAUUAUGAAGAUUGCAUGCGUUCGUUGCGAAAAAAUCCACCCGAGUUUCGCUACCCGGCAAUAUGCAUUCGGGUACCGAAAUGCACCCGUAUUGCAUCAUUUUUCGUUCCGGAACCGAAUGCUCAAAAACACUCCCAAACAUGUUCUAGGGUAUAAUUAUGAAGAUUGCAUGCGUUCGUUGCGAAAAAAUCCACCCGAGUUUCGCUACACGGAAAAAGUGCAUUCGGGUGCCGAAAUGCACCCGUUUUGCAUCAUUUUUCGUUCCGGAACCGAAUGCUCAAAAACACUCCCAAACAUGUUUUAGGGUAUAAUUAGGAAGAUUGCAUGCGUUCGUUGCGAAAAAAUCCACUCGAGUUUCGCUACCCGGCAAUAUGCAAUCGGGUGCCGAAAUGCACCCGUUUUGCAUCAUUUUUCGUUCCGGAACCGAAUGCUCAAAAACACUCCCAAACAUGUUCUAGGGUAUAAUUAGGAAGAUUGCAUGCGUUCGUUGCGAAAAAAUCCACCCGAGUUUCGCUACCCGGCAAUAUGCAAUCGGGUGCCGAAAUGCACCCGUUUUGCAUCAUUUUUCGUUCCGGAACCGAAUGCUCAAAAACACUCCCAAACAUGUUCUAGGGUAUAAUUAUGAAGAUUGCAUGCGUUCGUUGCGAAAAAAUCCACCCGAGUUUCGCUACCCGGCAAUAUGCAUUCGGGUACCGAAAUGCACCCGUAUUGCAUCAUUUUUCGUUCCGGAACCGAAUGCUCAAAAACACUACCAAACAUGUUCUAGGGUAUAAUUAUGAAGAUUGCAUGCGUUCGUUGCGAAAAAAUCUAAUCGAGUUUCGCUACACGGAAAAAGUGCAUUCGGGUGCCGAAAUGCACCCGUUUUGCAUCAUUUUUCAUUCCGGAACCGAAUGCUCAAAAACACUCCCAAACAUGUUCUAGGGUAUAAUUAUGAAGAUUGCAUGCGUUCGUUGCGAAAAAAUCCACCCGAGUUUCGCUACACGGAAAAAGUGCAUUCGGGUGCCGAAAUGCACCCGUUUUGCAUCAUUUUUCGUUCCGGAACCGAAUGCUCAAAAACACUCCCAAACAUGUUUUAGGGUAUAAUUAGGAAGAUUGCAUGCGUUCGUUGCGAAAAAAUCCACUCGAGUUUCGCUACCCGGCAAUAUGCAUUCGGGUGCCGAAAUGCACCCGUUUUGCAUCAUUUUUCAUUCCGGAACCGAAUGCUCAAAAACACUCCCAAACAUGUUCUAGGGUAUAAUUAUGAAGAUUGCAUGCGUUCGUUGCGAAAAAAUCCACCCGAGUUUCGCUACCCGGCAAUAUGCAUUCGGGUACCGAAAUGCACCCGUAUUGCAUCAUUUUUCGUUCCGGAACCGAAUGCUCAAAAACACUACCAAACAUGUUCUAGGGUAUAAUUAUGAAGAUUGCAUGCGUUCGUUGCGAAAAAAUCAACCCGAGUUUCGCUACCCGUAAAUAGUGCAUUCGGCUACCGAAAUGCACCCGUUUUGCAUCGUUUUUCGUUCCGGAACCGAAUGCUCAAAAACACUCCCAAACAUGUUUUAGGGUAUAAUUACGAAGAUUGCAUGCGUUCGUUGCGAAAAAAUCCACCCGAGUUUCGCUACCCGGCAAUAUGCAUUCGGGUGCCGAAAUGCACCCGUUUUGCAUCAUUUUUCAUUCCGGAACCGAAUGCUCAAAAACACUCCCAAACAUGUUCUAGGGUAUAAUUAUGAAGAUUGCAUGCGUUCGUUGCGAAAAAAUCAACCCGAGUUUCGCUACCCGUAAAUAGUGCAUUCGGCUACCGAAAUGCACCCGUUUUGCAUCGUUUUUCGUUCCGGAACCGAAUGCUCAAAAACACUCCCAAACAUGUUUUAGGGUAUAAUUACGAAGAUUGCAUGCGUUCGUUGCGAAAAAAUCCACCCGAGUUUCGCUACCCGGCAAUAUGCAUUCGGGUGCCGAAAUGCACCCGUAUUGCAUCAUUUUUCGUUCCGGAACCGAAUGCUCAAAAGCACUCCCAAACAUGUUCUAGGGUAUAAUUAUGAAGAUUGCAUGCGUUCGUUGCGAAAAAAUCAACCCGAGUUUCGCUACCCGUAAAUAGUGCAUUCGGCUACCGAAAUGCACCCGUUUUGCAUCGUUUUUCGUGCUGUAACCGAAUGCUCAGAAACACUCCCAAACAUGUUCUAGGGUCUAAUUAGAAAGAUUGCACGCGUUCGUUGCGAAAAAAUCCACCCGAGUUUCGCUACCCGGCAAUAUGCAAUCGGGUGCCGAAAUGCACCCGUUUUGCAUCAUUUUUCGUUCCGGAACCGAAUGCUCAAAAACACUCCCAAACAUAUUCUAGGGUAUAAUUAUGAAGAUUGCAUGCGUUCGUUGCGAAAAAAUCCACCCGAGUUUCGCUACCCGGCAAUAUGCAUUCGGGUACCGAAAUGCACCCGUAUUGCAUCAUUUUUCGUUCCGGAACCGAAUGCUCAAAAACACUCCCAAACAUGUUCUAGGGUAUAAUUAUGAAGAUUGCAUGCGUUCGUUGCGAAAAAAUCCACCCGAGUUUCGCUACACGGAAAAAGUGCAUUCGGGUGCCGAAAUGCACCCGUUUUGCAUCAUUUUUCGUUCCGGAACCGAAUGCUCAAAAACACUCCCAAACAUGUUUUAGGGUAUAAUUAGGAAGAUUGCAUGCGUUCGUUGCGAAAAAAUCCACUCGAGUUUCGCUACCCGGCAAUAUGCAAUCGGGUGCCGAAAUGCACCCGUUUUGCAUCAUUUUUCGUUCCGGAACCGAAUGCUCAAAAACACUCCCAAACAUGUUCUAGGGUAUAAUUAGGAAGAUUGCAUGCGUUCGUUGCGAAAAAAUCCACCCGAGUUUCGCUACCCGGCAAUAUGCAAUCGGGUGCCGAAAUGCACCCGUUUUGCAUCAUUUUUCGUUCCGGAACCGAAUGCUCAAAAACACUCCCAAACAUGUUCUAGGGUAUAAUUAUGAAGAUUGCAUGCGUUCGUUGCGAAAAAAUCCACCCGAGUUUCGCUACCCGGCAAUAUGCAUUCGGGUACCGAAAUGCACCCGUAUUGCAUCAUUUUUCGUUCCGGAACCGAAUGCUCAAAAACACUACCAAACAUGUUCUAGGGUAUAAUUAUGAAGAUUGCAUGCGUUCGUUGCGAAAAAAUCUAAUCGAGUUUCGCUACACGGAAAAAGUGCAUUCGGGUGCCGAAAUGCACCCGUUUUGCAUCAUUUUUCAUUCCGGAACCGAAUGCUCAAAAACACUCCCAAACAUGUUCUAGGGUAUAAUUAUGAAGAUUGCAUGCGUUCGUUGCGAAAAAAUCCACCCGAGUUUCGCUACACGGAAAAAGUGCAUUCGGGUGCCGAAAUGCACCCGUUUUGCAUCAUUUUUCGUUCCGGAACCGAAUGCUCAAAAACACUCCCAAACAUGUUUUAGGGUAUAAUUAGGAAGAUUGCAUGCGUUCGUUGCGAAAAAAUCCACUCGAGUUUCGCUACCCGGCAAUAUGCAUUCGGGUGCCGAAAUGCACCCGUUUUGCAUCAUUUUUCAUUCCGGAACCGAAUGCUCAAAAACACUCCCAAACAUGUUCUAGGGUAUAAUUAUGAAGAUUGCAUGCGUUCGUUGCGAAAAAAUCCACCCGAGUUUCGCUACCCGGCAAUAUGCAUUCGGGUACCGAAAUGCACCCGUAUUGCAUCAUUUUUCGUUCCGGAACCGAAUGCUCAAAAACACUACCAAACAUGUUCUAGGGUAUAAUUAUGAAGAUUGCAUGCGUUCGUUGCGAAAAAAUCCAAUCGAGUUUCGCUACACGGAAAAAGUGCAUUCGGGUGCCGAAAUGCACCCGUUUUGCAUCAUUUUUCGUUCCGGAACCGAAUGCUCAAAAACACUCCCAAACAUGUUCUAGGGUAUAAUUAUGAAGAUUGCAUGCGUUCGUUGCGAAAAAAUCCACCCGAGUUUCGCUACCCGGUAAUAUGCAUUCGGGUACCGAAAUGCACCCGUAUUGCAUCAUUUUUCGUUCCGGAACCGAAUGCUCAAAAACACUACCAAACAUGUUCUAGGGUAUAAUUAUGAAGAUUGCAUGCGUUCGUUGCGAAAAAAUCCAAUCGAGUUUCGCUACACGGAAAAAGUGCAUUCGGGUGCCGAAAUGCACCCGUUUUGCAUCAUUUUUCGUUCUGGAACCGAAUGCUCAAAAACACUCCCAAACAUGUUCUAGGGUAUAAUUAUGAAGAUUGCAUGUGUUCGUUGCGAAAAAAUCCACCCGAGUUUCGCUACCCGGCAAUAUGCAUUCGGGUACCGAAAUGCAACCGUAUUGCAUCAUUUUUCGUUCCGGAACCGAAUGCUCAAAAACACUCCCAAACAUGUUCUAGGGUAUAAUUAUGAAGAUUGCAUGCGUUCGUUGCGAAAAAAUCCAAUCGAGUUUCGCUACACGGAAAAAGUGCAUUCGGGUGCCGAAAUGCACCCGUUUUGCAUCAUUUUUCGUUCCGGAACCGAAUGCUCAAAAACACUCCCAAACAUGUUUUAGGGUAUAAUUAGGAAGAUUGCAUGCGUUCGUUGCGAAAAAAUCCACCCGAGUUUCGCUACCCGGCAAUAUGCAUUCGGGUGCCGAAAUGCACCCGUUUUGCAUCAUUUUUCAUUCCGGAACCGAAUGCUCAAAAACACUCCCAAACAUGUUCUAGGGUAUAAUUAUGAAGAUUGCAUGCGUUCGUUGCGAAAAAAUCCACCCGAGUUUCGCUACCCGGCAAUAUGCAUUCGGGUACCGAAAUGCACCCGUAUUGCAUCAUUUUUCGUUCCGGAACCGAAUGCUCAAAAACACUCCCAAACAUGUUCUAGGGUAUAAUUAGGAAUAUUGCAUGCGUUCGUUGCGAAAAAAUCCACCUGAGUUUCGCUACCCGGAAAUAGUGCAUUCGGGUGCCGAAAUGCACCCGUUUUGCAUCAUUUUUCGUUCCGGAACCGAAUGCUCAAAAACACUCCCAAACAUGUUUUAGGGUAUAAUUAGGAAGAUUGCAUGCGUUCGUUGCGAAAAAAUCCACCCGAGUUUCGCUACCCGGCAAUAUGCAAUCGGGUGCCGAAAUGCACCCGUUUUGCAUCAUUUUUCGUUCCGGAACCGAAUGCUCAAAAACACUCCCAAACAUGUUCUAGGGUAUAAUUAUGAAGAUUGCAUGCGUUCGUUGCGAAAAAAUCCAAUCGAGUUUCGCUACACGGAAAAAGUGCAUUCGGGUGCCGAAAUGCACCCGUUUUGCAUCAUUUUUCGUUCCGGAACCGAAUGCUCAAAAACACUCCCAAACAUGUUUUAGGGUAUAAUUAGGAAGAUUGCAUGCGUUCGUUGCGAAAAAAUCCACCCGAGUUUCGCUACCCGGCAAUAUGCAAUCGGGUGCCGAAAUGCACCCGUUUUGCAUCAUUUUUCGUUCCGGAACCGAAUGCUCAAAAACACUCCCAAACAUGUUCUAGGGUAUAAUUAUGAAGAUUGCAUGCGUUCGUUGCGAAAAAAUCCAAUCGAGUUUCGCUACACGGAAAAAGUGCAUUCGGGUGCCGAAAUGCACCCGUUUUGCAUCAUUUUUCGUUCCGGAACCGAAUGCUCAAAAAGACUCCCAAACAUGUUUUAGGGUAUAAUUAGGAAGAUUGCAUGCGUUCGUUGCGAAAAAAUCCACCCGAGUUUCGCUACCCGGCAAUAUGCAAUCGGGUGCCGAAAUGCACCCGUUUUGCAUCAUUUUUCGUUCCGGAACCGAAUGCUCAAAAACACUCCCAAACAUGUUCUAGGGUAUAAUUAUGAAGAUUGCAUGCGUUCGUUGCGAAAAAAUCCACCCGAGUUUCGCUACCCGGCAAUAUGCAUUCGGGUACCGAAAUGCACCCGUAUUGCAUCAUUUUUCGUUCCGGAACCGAAUGCUCAAAAACACUCCCAAACAUGUUCUAGGGUAUAAUUAGGAAGAUUGCAUGCGUUCGUUGCGAAAAAAUCCACCCGAGUUUCGCUUCCCGGCAAUAUGCAUUCGGGUGCCGAAAUGCACCCGUUUUGCAUCAUUUUUCGUUCCGGAACCGAAUGCUCAAAAACACUCCCAAACAUGUUCUAGGGUAUAAUUAGGAAGAUUGCAUGCGUUCGUUGCGAAAAUAUCCACCCGAGUUUCGCUACCCGGCAAUAUGCAUUCGGGUGCCGAAAUGUACCCGUUUUGCAUCAUUUUUCGUUACGGAACCGAAUGCUCAAAAACACUCCCAAACAUGUUCUAGGGUAUAAUUAUGAAGAUUGCAUGCGUUCGUUGCGAAAAAAUUCACCCGAGUUUCGCUACCCGGAAAUAGUGCAUUCGGGUGCCGAAAUGCACCCGUUUUGCAUCGUUUUUCGUGCCGGAACCGAAUGCUCAAAAACACUCCCAAACAUGUUCUAAGGUCUAGUUAGGAAGAUUAGAUGCGUUCGUUGCGAAAAAAUCCACCCGAGUUUCGCUACGCGGAAAUAGGGCAUUCGGGUGCCGAAAUGCACCCGUUUUGCAUCAUUUUUCGUGCCGGAACCGAAUGCUCAAAUACACUCCCAAACAUGUUCUGGUGUAUACUUAGGAAGAUUGGAUGCGUUCGUUCCGAGAAAAUCCACCCGAGUUUCGCUACCCGGAAAUAGUGCAUUCGGGUGCCGAAAUGCACCCAUUUUGCAUCGUUUUUCGUGCCAGAUCGAAUGCUCAAAAACAUUCCCAAACAUGUUCUAGUGUAUAGUUAGGAAGAUUGCAUGCGUUCGUUGCGAGAAAAUCCACCCGAGUUUCGCUACCCGGAAAUAGUGCAUUCGGGUGCCGAAAUGCACCCGUUUUGCAUCAUUUUUCGUUCCGGAACCGAAUGCUCAAAAACACUACCAAACAUGUUCUAGGGUAUAAUUAUGAAGAUUGCAUGCGUUCGUUGCGAAAAAAUCCAAUCGAGUUUCGCUACACGGAAAAAGUGCAUUCGGGUGCCGAAAUGCACCCGUUUUGCAUCAUUUUUCGUUCCGGAACCGAAUGCUCAAAAACACUCCCAAACAUGUUCUAGGGUAUAAUUAUGAAGAUUGCAUGCGUUCGUUGCGAAAAAAUCCACCCGAGUUUCGCUACACGGAAAAAGUGC